RNAcentral lists this ribosomal RNA (613 nucleotides) under uncultured bacterium. RNAcentral describes it as "bacterial SSU rRNA". The stretch from base 1 to 518 matches the Rfam family "Bacterial small subunit ribosomal RNA", at positions 338 to 873 of the family's 1533-position model. The record is from RNAcentral.
CCUACGGGAGGCAGCAGUGGGGAAUAUUGGACAAUGGGCGAAAGCCUGAUCCAGCCAUGCCGCGUGAGUGAUGAAGGCCUUAGGGUUGUAAAGCUCUUUCGCCAGGGACGAUAAUGACGGUACCUGGAUAAGAAGCCCCGGCUAACUUCGUGCCAGCAGCCGCGGUAAUACGAAGGGGGCUAGCGUUGUUCGGAAUUACUGGGCGUAAAGCGUAUGCAGGCGGACUUUUAAGUCGGGGGUGAAAUCCCGAGGCUCAACCUCGGAACUGCCUUCGAUACUGGAAGUCUUGAGUCCGGGAGAGGUGAGUGGAACUCCGAGUGUAGAGGUGAAAUUCGUAGAUAUUCGGAAGAACACCAGUGGCGAAGGCGGCUCACUGGCCCGGUACUGACGCUGAGAUACGAAAGCGUGGGGAGCAAACAGGAUUAGAUACCCUGGUAGUCCACGCCGUAAACGAUGGGUGCUAGCCGUCGGAGAGCUUGCUCUUCGGUGGCGCAGCUACGUACUUACGUACACCCGCCGUCGGGUAGGUACGAGUCGCGAAGAAGUUAAAACGUUAAACGGUAAAGUUAGUACGGCGUGAGAACGUGCCGACGGACGACGACGAGGGAGGAGG